RNAcentral lists this unclassified non-coding RNA (298 nucleotides) under uncultured Boletopsis. Its description in RNAcentral is "sequence contains ITS2". The stretch from base 1 to 52 matches the Rfam family "5.8S ribosomal RNA", at positions 103 to 154 of the family's 154-position model. Lineage: Eukaryota; Fungi; Basidiomycota; Agaricomycetes; Thelephorales; Thelephoraceae. The record is from RNAcentral.
AACGCACCUUGCACUCCUUGGUAUUCCGAGGAGUAUGCCUGUUUGAGUGUCAUGAAAUUCUCAACUGCCUUGGCCUUUUGUGCCAAAGUGAAGUUGGAUUUGGAGGUUUUGUUGCUGGCAUGGAGCGUCUGAUUGAUGCUUGCUGUGUUGGCUCCUCCUAAAAGCAUGCAGAGCUUGGCAAAGCGGCGUCCAUGUGAUAAUUAUCUACGUUGUCGUCGAAGUGUGCAGAUCUGCUGUGGGGUGUGACCUUUUUGAACAAUUUGACCUCAAAUCAGGUAGGACUACCCGCUGAACUUAA